UGCAAUGCUAUGAUUGGAAAGAGUACAUAUACCCACCUUAUCAGAGAGGGAGAAUCAUUAGCUGCGAGAUUCUCUAAGGAGUAGGGAUAUGGAAAGUCAUCCAUGAGCAAUUCCAAUGAAAUGAGAAGUAAUAAAGUAGUUGGAAUCGGCGUCAAACCGUUAUCUUGUUAGAGUGAACGCGUGAGUUCCGUACUUUCACAUAGUGGGAAAUGUAUUUGAAUGAUGAUAACGCGCGUUAACAAAGGUGGUACCGCGAAACAAACUCCUUUUCGUCCUUUGA
Molecule: non-coding RNA, 280 nt
Filed under: Brevibacillus laterosporus
Lineage: Bacteria; Bacillati; Bacillota; Bacilli; Caryophanales; Paenibacillaceae
Description: T-box sequence
Rfam family: T-box leader
About the family: Uncharged tRNA acts as the effector for transcription antitermination of genes in the T-box leader family. T-boxes are found upstream of many aminoacyl-tRNA synthetase genes and some amino acid biosynthetic genes usually in Gram-positive bacteria. The anticodon of a specific tRNA base pairs to a specifier sequence within the T-box motif, and the NCCA acceptor tail of the tRNA base pairs to a conserved bulge in the T-box antiterminator hairpin.
Source: RNAcentral